RNAcentral lists this ribosomal RNA (253 nucleotides) under Eubacterium ventriosum. Its description in RNAcentral is "partial 16S ribosomal RNA". It matches the Rfam family "Bacterial small subunit ribosomal RNA", at positions 524 to 776 of the family's 1533-position model. Lineage: Bacteria; Bacillati; Bacillota; Clostridia; Eubacteriales; Eubacteriaceae. The record is from RNAcentral.
UACGUAUGGGGCAAGCGUUAUCCGGAUUUACUGGGUGUAAAGGGAGCGUAGGCGGCAUGGCAAGUCAGAAGUGAAAGCCUGGGGCUCAACCCCGGAAUUGCUUUUGAAACUGUCAGGCUAGAGUGUCGGAGAGGUAAGCGGAAUUCCUAGUGUAGCGGUGAAAUGCGUAGAUAUUAGGAGGAACACCGGUGGCGAAGGCGGCUUACUGGACGAUUACUGACGCUGAGGCUCGAAAGCGUGGGGAGCAAACAGG